CCUACGGGAGGCAGCAGUGGGGAAUAUUGGACAAUGGGGGCAACCCUGAUCCAGCCAUGCCGCGUGUGUGAAGAAGGCCCUCGGGUUGUAAAGCACUUUCAGUGAGGAAGAACGCCUGGUGGUUAAUACCCAUCAGGAAAGACAUCACUCACAGAUGAAGCACCGGCUAACUCCGUGCCAGCAGCCGCGGUAAUACGGAGGGUGCGAGCGUUAAUCGGAAUUACUGGGCGUAAAGCGCGCGUAGGUGGCUUGAUAAGCCGGUUGUGAAAGCCCCGGGCUCAACCUGGGAACGGCAUCCGGAACUGUCAAGCUAGAGUGCAGGAGAGGAAGGUAGAAUUCCCGGUGUAGCGGUGAAAUGCGUAGAGAUCGGGAGGAAUACCAGUGGCGAAGGCGGCCUUCUGGACUGACACUGACACUGAGGUGCGAAAGCGUGGGUAGCGAACAGGAUUAGAUACCCGAGUAGUC
This 465-nucleotide ribosomal RNA is filed under the name Vreelandella stevensii. RNAcentral describes it as "partial 16S ribosomal RNA". It matches the Rfam family "Bacterial small subunit ribosomal RNA", at positions 338 to 795 of the family's 1533-position model. Lineage: Bacteria; Pseudomonadati; Pseudomonadota; Gammaproteobacteria; Oceanospirillales; Halomonadaceae. The record is from RNAcentral.